UGUGUUUGUAACUCAUCGGAUAGAGUUUUUGAUUACGAAUCAAAAAGUAAAAGGUUCAAUUCCUUUCAAAUACAA
This 75-nucleotide transfer RNA is filed under the name Candidatus Carsonella ruddii (Diaphorina cf. continua). Its description in RNAcentral is "tRNA-Arg". It matches the Rfam family "tRNA". From Rfam's summary of the family: Transfer RNA (tRNA) molecules are approximately 80 nucleotides in length. Their secondary structure includes four short double-helical elements and three loops (D, anti-codon, and T loops). Lineage: Bacteria; Pseudomonadati; Pseudomonadota; Gammaproteobacteria; Oceanospirillales; Halomonadaceae. The record is from RNAcentral.